RNAcentral lists this ribosomal RNA (253 nucleotides) under uncultured bacterium. RNAcentral describes it as "partial 16S ribosomal RNA". It matches the Rfam family "Bacterial small subunit ribosomal RNA", at positions 524 to 776 of the family's 1533-position model. The record is from RNAcentral.
UACGUAGGGUGCAAGCGUUGUCCGGAAUUAUUGGGCGUAAAGAGCUCGUAGGCGGUCUGUCGCGUCUGCUGUGAAAACUCAGGGCUUAACCCUGAGCUUGCAGUGGGUACGGGCAGACUAGAGUGCGGUAGGGGAGACUGGAAUUCCUGGUGUAGCGGUGAAAUGCGCAGAUAUCAGGAGGAACACCGGUGGCGAAGGCGGGUCUCUGGGCCGUAACUAACGCUGAGGAGCGAAAGCAUGGGGAGCGAACAGG